This 403-nucleotide ribosomal RNA is filed under the name Fusobacteriota bacterium. Its description in RNAcentral is "Fusobacteria bacterium partial 16S ribosomal RNA". It matches the Rfam family "Bacterial small subunit ribosomal RNA", at positions 355 to 776 of the family's 1533-position model. Lineage: Bacteria; Fusobacteriati; Fusobacteriota. The record is from RNAcentral.
UGGGGAAUAUUGCACAAUGGAGGGAACUCUGAUGCAGCGACGCCGCGUGAACGAAGAAGGCUUUCGAGUCGUAAAGUUCUUUUAUAUGGGAAGAUAAUGACGGUACCAUAAGAAAAAGCACCGGCUAACUACGUGCCAGCAGCCGCGGUAAUACGUAGGGGGCUAGCGUUGUCCGGAAUCACUGGGCGUAAAGGGUUCGCAGGCGGAAAUGCAAGUCAGGUGUAAAAGGCAGAGGCUCAACCUCUGUAAGCAAUUGAAACUGUAUUUCUUGAGAGGUGGAGAGGCAAGUGGAAUUCCUAGUGUAGCGGUGAAAUGCGUAGAUAUUAGGAAGAAUACCGGUGGCGAAGGCGACUUGCUGGACACAAACUGACGCUGAGAAACGAGAGCGUGGGUAGCAAACAGG